CCUACGGGAGGCAGCAGUGGGGAAUAUUGCACAAUGGGGGAAACCCUGAUGCAGCGACGCCGCGUGAGUGAAGAAGUAAUUCGUUAUGUAAAGCUCUAUCAGUAGGGAAGAAAAUGACGGUACCUGAGUAAUAAGCCCCGGCUAACUCCGUGCCAGCCGCCGCGGUAAUACGUAGGGGGCAAGCGUUAUCCGGAUUUACUGGGUGUAAAGGGAGCGUAGACGGGAGUGCAAGUCUGGAGUGAAAGGCGGGGGCUCAACCCCCGGACUGCUUUGGAAACUGUACGGCUGGAGUGCGGGAGAGGUAAGUGGAAUUCCUGGUGUAGCGGUGAAAUGCGUAGAUAUUAGGAGGAACACUAGUGGCGAAGGCGGCUUACUGGACUGUAACUGACGUUGAGGCUCGAAAGCGUGGGGAGCAAACAGGAUUAGAUACCCUUGUAGUC
RNAcentral lists this ribosomal RNA (440 nucleotides) under uncultured bacterium. RNAcentral describes it as "partial 16S ribosomal RNA". It matches the Rfam family "Bacterial small subunit ribosomal RNA", at positions 338 to 795 of the family's 1533-position model. The record is from RNAcentral.